This 599-nucleotide long non-coding RNA is filed under the name Homo sapiens (human). RNAcentral describes it as "HSALNT0043032". Lineage: Eukaryota; Metazoa; Chordata; Mammalia; Primates; Hominidae. The record is from RNAcentral.
GAGCUUCAUAGUCUGGAUCCAAGAAGGCAAGAGUUAUUGGAAGCUAGAUUUACUGGAGUUGCAAGUGGGAGCACUGGAAGUACGGGCAGUUGCAGUGUUGGAGCUAAAGCCUCAACAAAUAACGAAAGCUCUAAUCACAGUUUUGGAAGCUUGGGAUCUUUAAGUGACAAAGAAUCAGAGACACCGGAGAAGAAACAAUCGGAAUCAUCCAGGGGAAGAAAGAGAAAAGCAGAAAACCAGAAUGAAAGUAGUCAGGGUAAGCACAUAACAUCUUCCUUCAGAGCCUAGUGGACACUUAAAAUUAAUUGUUUUAAUUUUUAACCAAUUAAUACUCUAAUUGUAAAAUAAUAUGAAGUUGUAAAUUUUGGUGUGUGCACAGGUAGUUAGUGUAUAAUGAUUGCUUUUAGGCUUUUCAAUGUUGCCCUUAUUGUUUUCAUUUGGGUCCUAGAAAGACAAGUAUCAUGUCCAAAUCUGGCAAGCAUUAACUUAUGACUUUUCAUUUUUCAUUCUUUAUAUGUAUUGUAUUGAAAUGGCUUGUUUUUGAAUUAAAAACUUCAAUCUCACUUUAACAGAACUACUCAAACUUUUCCCAUUUAUUU